RNAcentral lists this ribosomal RNA (497 nucleotides) under uncultured bacterium. RNAcentral describes it as "partial 16S ribosomal RNA". It matches the Rfam family "Bacterial small subunit ribosomal RNA", at positions 28 to 507 of the family's 1533-position model. The record is from RNAcentral.
GAUGAACGCUGGCGGUGUGCCUAAUACAUGCCAGUCGAGCGAACGGACGAGAAGCUUGCUUCUCUGAUGUUAGCGGCGGACGGGUGAGUAACACGUGGAUAACCUACCUAUAAGACUGGGAUAACUUCGGGAAACCGGAGCUAAUACCGGAUAAUAUUUUGAACCGCAUGGUUCAAAAGUGAAAGACGGUCUUGCUGUCACUUAUAGAUGGAUACGCGCUGCAUUAGCUAGUUGGUAAGGUAACGGCUUACCAAGGCAACGAUGCAUAGCCGACCUGAGAGGGUGAUCGGCCACACUGGAACUGAGACACGGUCCAGACUCCUACGGGAGGCAGCAGUAGGGAAUCUUCCGCAAUGGGCGAAAGCCUGACGGAGCAACGCCGCGUGAGUGAUGAAGGUCUUCGGAUCGUAAAACUCUGUUAUUAGGGAAGAACAUAUGUGUAAGUAACUGUGCACAUCUUGACGGUACCUAAUCAGAAAGCCACGGCUAACUACGUG